Molecule: ribosomal RNA, 382 nt
Filed under: uncultured bacterium
Lineage: Bacteria
Description: bacterial SSU rRNA
Rfam family: Bacterial small subunit ribosomal RNA
Source: RNAcentral
AUUGAACGCUGGCGGCAUGCCUAACACAUGCAAGUCGAACGGCAGCACGGCAGUAGCAAUACUGUGGGUGGCGAGUGGCGGACGGGUGAGGAAUACGUCGGAAUCUGCCCAGUCGUGGGGGAUAACUAGCCGAAAGGUUAGCUAAUACCGCAUACGACCGAGAGGUGAAAGCGGGGGACCGCAAGGCCUCGCGCGAUUGGAUGAGCCGACGUCGGAUUAGCUAGUUGGAGGGGUAAAGGCCACCAAGGCGACGAUCCGUAGCUGGUCUGAGAGGAUGAUCAGCCACACUGGAACUGAGACACGGUCCAGACUCCUACGGGAGGCAGCAGUGGGGAAUAUUGGACAAUGGGCGCAAGCCUGAUCCAGCAAUGCCGCGUGUGUG